RNAcentral lists this ribosomal RNA (1346 nucleotides) under uncultured bacterium. RNAcentral describes it as "bacterial SSU rRNA". It matches the Rfam family "Bacterial small subunit ribosomal RNA", at positions 28 to 1381 of the family's 1533-position model. The record is from RNAcentral.
GACGAACGCUGGCGGCGUGCUUAGCGCAUGCAAGUCGAACGGAAAGGCCCUGCUUUUGUGGGGUGCUCGAGUGGCGAACGGGUGAGUAACACGUGAGUAACCUGCCCUUGACUUUGGGAUAACUUCAGGAAACUGGGGCUAAUACCGGAUAGGAGCUCCUGCUGCAUGGUGGGGGUUGGAAAGUUUCGGCGGUUGGGGAUGGACUCGCGGCUUAUCAGCUUGUUGGUGGGGUAGUGGCUUACCAAGGCUUUGACGGGUAGCCGGCCUGAGAGGGUGACCGGCCACAUUGGGACUGAGAUACGGCCCAGACUCCUACGGGAGGCAGCAGUGGGGAAUAUUGCACAAUGGGCGGAAGCCUGAUGCAGCAACGCCGCGUGCGGGAUGACGGCCUUCGGGUUGUAAACCGCUUUCGCCUGUGACGAAGCGUGAGUGACGGUAAUGGGUAAAGAAGCACCGGCUAACUACGUGCCAGCAGCCGCGGUGAUACGUAGGGUGCGAGCGUUGUCCGGAUUUAUUGGGCGUAAAGGGCUCGUAGGUGGUUGAUCGCGUCGGAAGUGUAAUCUUGGGGCUUAACCCUGAGCGUGCUUUCGAUACGGGUUGACUUGAGGAAGGUAGGGGAGAAUGGAAUUCCUGGUGGAGCGGUGGAAUGCGCAGAUAUCAGGAGGAACACCAGUGGCGAAGGCGGUUCUCUGGGCCUUUCCUGACGCUGAGGAGCGAAAGCGUGGGGAGCGAACAGGCUUAGAUACCCUGGUAGUCCACGCUGUAAACGGUGGGUACUAGGUGUGGGGUCCAUUCCACGGGUUCCGUGCCGUAGCUAACGCUUUAAGUACCCCGCCUGGGGAGUACGGCCGCAAGGCUAAAACUCAAAGGAAUUGACGGGGCCCCGCACAAGCGGCGGAGCAUGCGGAUUAAUUCGAUGCAACGCGUAGAACCUUACCUGGGUUUGACAUGGAUCGGGAGCGCUCAGAGAUGGGUGUGCCUCUUUUGGGGUCGGUUCACAGGUGGUGCAUGGCUGUCGUCAGCUCGUGUCGUGAGAUGUUGGGUUAAGUCCCGCAACGAGCGCAACCCUUGUUCACUGUUGCCAGCACGUUAUGGUGGGGACUCAGUGGAGACCGCCGGGGUCAACUCGGAGGAAGGUGGGGAUGACGUCAAGUCAUCAUGCCCCUUAUGUCCAGGGCUUCACGCAUGCUACAAUGGCUGGUACAGAGAGUGGCGAGCCUGUGAGGGUGAGCGAAUCUCGGAAAGCCGGUCUCAGUUCGGAUUGGGGUCUGCAACUCGACCUCAUGAAGUCGGAGUCGCUAGUAAUCGCAGAUCAGCAACGCUGCGGUGAAUACGUUCCCGGGGCU